This 253-nucleotide ribosomal RNA is filed under the name uncultured bacterium. Its description in RNAcentral is "partial 16S ribosomal RNA". It matches the Rfam family "Bacterial small subunit ribosomal RNA", at positions 524 to 776 of the family's 1533-position model. The record is from RNAcentral.
UACGGAGGGUGCAAGCGUUAAUCGGAAUUACUGGGCGUAAAGCGUGCGUAGGUGGUUCGUUAAGUCCGUUGUGAAAGCCCCGAGCUCAACUUGGGAAUUGCAGUGGAUACUGGCGAGCUAGAGUGCGGUAGAGGAAGGUGGAAUUCCCGGUGUAGCGGUGAAAUGCGUAGAGAUCGGGAGGAACACCAGUGGCGAAGGCGGCUACCUGGACAAUUGCUGACGCUCAGGCACGAAAGCGUGGGGAGCAAAAGGG